CCUUCCGGGAACGUCUGACACAGGUGCUGCAUGGCGUGUCGUCAGCUCGUGUCGUGAGAUGUUGGGUUAAGUCCCGUAACGAGCGCAACCCUUGUCCUUAGUUACCAGCACGUUAUGGUGGGCACUCUAAGGAGACUGCCGGUGACAAACCGGAGGAAGGUGGGGAUGACGUCAAGUCAUCAUGGCCCUUACGGCCUGGGCUACACACGUGCUGCAAUGGUCGGUACAAAGGGUUGCCAAGCCGCGAGGUGGAGCUAAUCCCAUAAAACCGAUCGUAGUCCGGAUCGCAGUCUGCAACUCGACUGCGUGAAGUCGGAAUCGCUAGUAAUCGUGAAUCAGAAUGUCACGGUGAAUACGUUCCCGGGCCUU
RNAcentral lists this ribosomal RNA (369 nucleotides) under uncultured Pseudomonas sp. RNAcentral describes it as "bacterial SSU rRNA". It matches the Rfam family "Bacterial small subunit ribosomal RNA", at positions 1017 to 1382 of the family's 1533-position model. Lineage: Bacteria; Pseudomonadati; Pseudomonadota; Gammaproteobacteria; Pseudomonadales; Pseudomonadaceae. The record is from RNAcentral.